GACAAACGCUGGCGGCGUGCUUAACACAUGCAAGUCGUACGGUAAGGCCCUUUCGGGGGUACACGAGUGGCGAACGGGUGAGUAACACGUGAGUAACCUGCCCACAACUUUGGGAGAACGCUAGGAAACUGGUGCUAAUACUGGAUAUGUGCUCCUGCUUCAUGGUGGGGGUUGGAAAGCUCCGGCGGUUGUGGAUGGACUCGCUGCCUAUCAGCUUGUUGGUGGGGGAGUUGCCUACCAAGGCGGCGGCGGGUAGCCGGCCUGAGAGGGUGACCGGCCAAAAUGGGGCUGGGGUAAGGCCCAAGCUCCCAAGGGGAGGAACAGUGGGGAAUAUUGCACAAUGGGCGCAAGCCUGAUGCAGCAACGCCGCGGGCGGGAUGACGGCCUUCGGGUUGUAAACCGCUUUCAGCAGGGAAGAAGCUUUUUGUGACGGUACCUGCAGAAGAAGCACCGGCUAACUACGUG
RNAcentral lists this ribosomal RNA (465 nucleotides) under uncultured bacterium. Its description in RNAcentral is "partial 16S ribosomal RNA". It matches the Rfam family "Bacterial small subunit ribosomal RNA", at positions 28 to 507 of the family's 1533-position model. The record is from RNAcentral.